UACAGAGGGGGCGAGCGUUGUUCGGAAUUAUUGGGCGUAAAGAGCUCGUAGGCGGUCUGUCGCGUCGAAUGUGAAAACCCGGGGCUCAACUCCGGGCUUGCAUUCGAUACGGGCAGGCUAGAGUUCGGUAGGGGAGUCUGGAAUUCCUGGUGUAGCGGUGAAAUGCGCAGAUAUCAGGAGGAACACCGGUGGCGAAGGCGGGACUCUGGGCCGAUACUGACGCUGAGGCACGAAAGCGUGGGGAGCAAACAGG
Molecule: ribosomal RNA, 253 nt
Filed under: uncultured bacterium
Lineage: Bacteria
Description: partial 16S ribosomal RNA
Rfam family: Bacterial small subunit ribosomal RNA
Source: RNAcentral